Molecule: ribosomal RNA, 970 nt
Filed under: uncultured Acetivibrio sp.
Lineage: Bacteria; Bacillati; Bacillota; Clostridia; Acetivibrionales; Acetivibrionaceae
Description: bacterial SSU rRNA
Rfam family: Bacterial small subunit ribosomal RNA
Source: RNAcentral
GACGAACGCUGGCGGCGUGCCUAACACAUGCAAGUCGAGCGGAGAUUAUAGCAAUGUAAUCUUAGCGGCGGACGGGUGAGUAACGCGUGGGUAACCUGCCUUAUACAGGGGGAUAACACUGGGAAACUAGUGCUAAUACCGCAUAACAUAGAGGAGCGGCAUCGCUUUUCUAUCAAAGGAGCAAUCCGGUAUAAGAUGGACCCGCGUCCGAUUAGCUAGUUGGUGGGGUAAAGGCCUACCAAGGCGACGAUCGGUAGCCGAACUGAGAGGUUGAUCGGCCACAUUGGGACUGAGACACGGCCCAGACUCCUACGGGAGGCAGCAGUGGGGAAUAUUGCGCAAUGGGGGAAACCCUGACGCAGCAACGCCGCGUGAAGGAUGAAGGCUUUCGGGUUGUAAACUUCUUUGAUGAGGGACGAAAAAAAUGACGGUACCUCAAAAACAAGCCACGGCUAACUACGUGCCAGCAGCCGCGGUAAUACGUAGGUGGCGAGCGUUGUCCGGAAUUACUGGGUGUAAAGGGCGUGUAGGCGGGAGAGUAAGUCAGAUGUGAAAUUCCCGGGCUCAACUCGGGCGCUGCAUCUGAAACUAUUUUUCUUGAGUGCUGGAGAGGAAAGCGGAAUUCCUAGUGUAGCGGUGAAAUGCGUAGAUAUUAGGAGGAACACCAGUGGCGAAGGCGGCUUUCUGGACAGUAACUGACGCUGAGGCGCGAAAGCGUGGGGAGCAAACAGGAUUAGAUACCCUGGUAGUCCACGCUGUAAACGAUGGAUACUAGGUGUAGGAGGUAUCGACCCCUUCUGUGCCGGAGUUAACACAAUAAGUAUCCCACCUGGGGAGUACGGUCGCAAGGUUGAAACUCAAAGGAAUUGACGGGGGCCCGCACAAGCAGUGGAGUAUGUGGUUUAAUUCGAAGCAACGCGAAGAACCUUACCAGGGCUUGACAUCCCUCGAAGUUGGUAGAGAUACCAAC